GUAGUACUUUCUCCGUCCAACAAAAGAUGUCUUAAGUUUGUUAAAGUUUGGAUGUAUCUAGACAUGACUUAGUGUAUAGAUGCAUUCAAAUUUAAAGUUGAGAAAACUUUUGUUGGACGGAGGAAGUAGGUG
Non-coding RNA from Brachypodium distachyon (stiff brome), 132 nucleotides. The record is from Rfam. NCBI's taxonomy places the organism in Eukaryota, Viridiplantae, Streptophyta, Magnoliopsida, Poales, Poaceae.